Molecule: ribosomal RNA, 475 nt
Filed under: uncultured bacterium
Lineage: Bacteria
Description: SSU rRNA
Rfam family: Bacterial small subunit ribosomal RNA
Source: RNAcentral
AGGAUGAACGCUGGCGGCGUGCCUAACACAUGCAAGUCGAACGUCCUGUCUCGCAAGAGGCAGGGAGUGGCGGACGGGUGAGUACCACGUGGGUCAUCUACCGUGAGGUGAGGAAUACCGGCGAGAAAUCGCCGACAAGACCGCAUAGCCUCGGUGCAAGUCGAGGAAAGCUCUCUCGAGAGAGGGAGCGCCACACGAGGAGCCUGCGCCCGAUUAGCUAGCUGGUGGAGUAACGGUUCACCAGGGCGACGAUCGGUAGCUGGUCUGAGAGGACGAUCAGCCACACUGGGAUUGAGAACGGCCCAGACUCCUACGGGGGGCAGCAGUGAGGAAUUUUCGUCAAUGGGGGCAACCCUGAACGAGCAACGCCGCGUGCAGGAAGAAGGUUUUCGGAUCGUAAACUGCUUUUCGUCGGGGAAGAGAACGGACGGUACCCGAGGAAUCGAGCCCCGGCUAACUACGUGCCAGCAGCCGC